RNAcentral lists this ribosomal RNA (2265 nucleotides) under Triticum aestivum (bread wheat). Its description in RNAcentral is "partial small subunit ribosomal RNA". The record is from RNAcentral. Lineage: Eukaryota; Viridiplantae; Streptophyta; Magnoliopsida; Poales; Poaceae.
AUGGCGUGGUGGUUAGCCACGCACUUGAGGCGGGCCGAGGUAGCAAGUUCGAUCCCCGCGGGGCGACCUUCAGGCGAGCCACCGGAUGGAGGCCUGGAGCGGCGCCCUAGGCCCUCCCCGUGGUGCGUCCGCCCGGCAUCUGGUACUCCGGCGGCGCGGCCGACGGCCUGGAGGAGAGCAGCCGGCCAUCAGAGAGGGCGGCGGCGGCGACCACGAAUGGGUUCAUCCCCUCCUGAUUUGAUUUCAAUCGUUGAAUCGGCUGGGUGCACUGGUCAAUCUAGCAUAAAGGGCUUUCCACCUCAGCCGGCUUACUUCGUCUUCCCCACACCAAGUUUCAUCUGUGGAUUCCGAGGGGAGUCAAAACUUAAUCCUAGCUCAGGUCUAAUUGCCCCUCAAGAAAAAAACCUCAGAUGCAAGUGGAAGUUUGCUAUGUGUCCGCCAUCUUUGGCACCGUCUGCAAGCGCUAAUUGCAAGAUUAACAACCUCCGCGUCCGUGAGUUCAUUGCCUGCUGUGCCAGGUUGCUUUGUAGAAUUUCUCAUCUGAGUUCCUCUUUCUUGACGCCUCUUCAUCUCUGCUUCUUGGUUCUGCACACGAACUCCAGUUUUGAGGAUAAGAUAUUCAGCACAAGAGAUGCAAUGGACACAAAUCGUUUUCCCUACAACUGUUUCAGGCGCAUCCCAGGUGGCAAUGCGCUGCGCAAGGCCUUCCGCGAUAGCUAUCUUCACAUAUCAACCUUUAAGUUCUUAAGUACAAUGGCUGCUGCACCAUCAUCCUCAUGGAUCAUCCCAAGAAUUAGUCACCUCUUCGUCUAUCCUGGAGCUUUGGGAUUCACCUUCCCGGUGGACCGCGUUGAGUGCAUAGGCGAAGUGUUCUUCCUCAUCUGGCCUGGCAUCCACUUCUCUGCGGGCUACGGCCGCCGACCCCCUGGGCGCAGCCUCACGUGUAGUUCGACUCCUCCGCUACGACCUGAUCCUCUCCGACUCGCGGCAGCACAGCAGGGGGAACCCGAUCUGGAUGCUCCAGCUCCCCAAGACGACGUUCUGCUCCUAGGCUCAGCACACCGCCGUAACGGACACAGCCCACGCAACGUACGAACUGGGCCCACAGCCACCACUGUGCACGCCCGUAUAGCAGUGAAAAGUAAGUGGUGGCAAAAAAUAAAAAUAAAAACCCUUCUCCCCCGAUUUUCUUCCGCCCCCCGACGUUCGCCGGCCGUCUCCGGCACCGCCCUCCACUGGCGCGGCUCUGCUCCGGCAUCCUCCGUCGAAUUCCCAGCUUUGCUAUGCCCUUCCGGCCCCACCCGAGGCUCCGGCGGCAAUCCUAGGUCCCUUGGGUCCCCGUCCCGGCGACGCGUCUCUGCCUCUUCUACCUUCUCCCUUGGCCAGGACAAGCCAACAAGGAAGGGAGCAAACCAGGAAAGCAGAUCGGCGACGGCGAGCGCAGUUGCUGGAAAAUCAUCGACAACCACUAUUGAUUACGCCGCCGCCGCUAGUAUGGGAGCGUCGCAGCCCAACAAAGAAGAUGAGGGGAAGACUAUGACUGUGGACAAGGAGAUGAAGAAGAUUUUCCGGGUGCCGCAGGACAGGCUGGAUUAUUACCUUUCCUUCAAAGCGAGCCCUGUUGGGCAGAGUCAGGCUCUACGGGAUCCUUCGGCCGCCGCCGAGUUGGACAAAAUCAUUGUACAAAUCCAGGCCGAGCAGGAGAAGAUGAGACGAGAGUACGAGGCCAAGGGCUACGCCACAUUUGAAGCAGAUGUCGCCGGCGACGAGGAAGAGGAAGAUGCAGCAGCAGGCGCAAUAGCUCCUUGUAUUAUUCAGCAAGGAGAGGAGAAAGAGGAAGAUACAACAUCUCCUUGUAUUACUCCGCAAGGAGACCAGGAUCUAGCAGCUCCUUGGUUUAUUCCACAUAGGGGCCGAAGAAGGUUUCGCCCAGGGGUCGUCAAGCAAGCAGGAGGCGUUAAGAAACUACCCAAGGAUCCUCACCCGAUGGUGAACCGUGGGCGGUGGCAGUGGUGGAAGGUCAAGAGUACAGGAAAAGCGGUGGGCAAGAGUAGAGCAGCGGACAACACAUAUGCUUGCAAUAGUCAAAGGUUAUAUGAUCAACAUUAUUGCGCAUCCAGCGUGUCAUAUGUCCGGGCAAAAGUAUCGCAUGAAGAGAGAGGAGACUGCACUUACGUCGAGGGGCGGUGGCAGCAGGACGCGACCAAGAGGCACAGUGGGUGCUACAGUGGGUGGCAGCAGGACACUCUGCAAAUUGAAAUGUGA